GCGGCCUUAGUGUAGUGGAUUAACACAUCGGCCUCCGGAGCCGGGGGUCGUGGGUUCGAACCCCACAGGCCGUA
Transfer RNA from Vitrella brassicaformis, 74 nucleotides. It matches the Rfam family "tRNA". Rfam says of the family: Transfer RNA (tRNA) molecules are approximately 80 nucleotides in length. Lineage: Eukaryota; Vitrellaceae. The record is from Rfam.